Molecule: long non-coding RNA, 732 nt
Filed under: Gossypium barbadense (sea-island cotton)
Lineage: Eukaryota; Viridiplantae; Streptophyta; Magnoliopsida; Malvales; Malvaceae
Description: long non-coding RNA (GBAR_LNC004920)
Source: RNAcentral
UCCGGCCUAGGGGUUCUGUCGAGCCUCCGUCCCCGGUCUUCUCACGCGCUCACGCGCCACCACACACGGUGGUCGGAGAGUUAAAAAAAACCUCAUUCUUUCAAGAAAAUCGCAGGUAACCUCUUCCUUUUUCAUAAUAUUAUCAGUUUUUGCAAUAGAUCGAUUUGUAUACUCGUUGAAUAAAUAACAGAAUAAAAAAAACUCGAAUCACCUUUUUAAAAGAAACUACUUGAACUUCUCUUUUAUGAAUAUGUGUAAGUAUCUUUUUAUUCUGUAAAAAUCCGGUCCUUUGUAUAGAUUUGUAAAGAGGCUUUUAUAGCCUUCUAUGAACUGUUUACAUUUAGAAAGAAAUCUUUGAUUUCUUUUCCCUAUCCGUUUUCCUUUUCUGUUGUAUUUUCUUUCUCUUUUUGCAGGCAAUCGAGGAAAGGAGACCACCAGCGUUGAUUCAGCCGUCGAUCACGGCGUGAUACGAGGCCGGAGUCACGGUGUUGAUUCGGGUCACUGCGAGACGAAUGGACACGAGUCGAAGGGGCGUGACUCUUGGACUGAUUGCGGCGCGAAGUUUCUGGAAACCCUAGGGUUUCCAGAUUUAGUUUCGGCACUAGGCCUCACUGGUUUGGGUCUGGCUCGGGUAUUCGGGCUUGGGUGUAACCGGGUUUUGGGUAGUAACGAGUCUGCUGGGUUUAAGCUAAAUGAGUCGAUAAAUUGUAAUGGGCUGUAAAUGAAAUUUGG